RNAcentral lists this long non-coding RNA (1782 nucleotides) under Takifugu rubripes (torafugu). Its description in RNAcentral is "lncRNA (ENSTRUG00000026885.1)". The record is from RNAcentral. Lineage: Eukaryota; Metazoa; Chordata; Actinopteri; Tetraodontiformes; Tetraodontidae.
GCGAUCAUAACAGGAAGGUUCUUGUGGUGACAGUAAGUUGUAGUUCAUUUGAAGGUUUUGGAGGAGGGGCAUUUUCGAAAAAAGAAAUGUGAGAAAAAAAAAGUGAGACAACAAACUCAACAGCAUUUUUGGAGUUCUUAGAGACAGAGGGAUGUAAACCGAGUAGGAGGUCGUUCAUACGUCAGCCAGGUGUUGUGAGUGUGUGAAGAAACAUUGUCUGAAUUCUCACCUUGCUACAGGGGCGAGACAUGUACAUCUGAAUACUUACAUAAAGACGUAAAUGCGUUAGCUGAUUUGAUUCCAAGUGUACAACAGUUCAAGUGGGUUCUGAAUGGACUCAGUGUACCACACACAUCCUGACUUGUGUGCCAACCUUCAGCGCUGUCCCCUUUGGAGUCAAGAGUCAGGAAGCCAGAUGAGGCUGUGGCAUGCCCGGCAUUUCACCUGGUUCCAUUGGCAACUCCAGACACCUCCCACUCGGCAAGGGUCCAGACAUGAAUCUCCUUCUGAGGCACGCGACGCCUCGAGCAUUGUUUCCAGCUUUUGCUGCUGCUCAGGAGUUCAGUACAGUCUAUUGUCCAUGUCAGCGGGGGACCGAAAAAAAGGCACAUUCAAGCAAAAGAAAAGUCCCGAGGCUGAUAUAUGUGUUGUGCAUGUACAAUUAAAGAAAAUCCUAGAAAGAAGACAUUUUAAUUUUAUAGAAUUAACCCCUUUACUCACAUUUCUUGCCUGGUGCAGUACCAGCCCUGUCUUUAUGUCAGUAUUAUGUCAGCUGGUGUAUUUUAAUACCAUAAUAAUUAACAAUUGGACAGGAAUCUUUUACAUCCAAUAGCUCCAGUCAUUCAGUUACCAGACCUUGUAAGAAGACUAUUACAACUGGAGAAUACUGCAAGGGUUAUAUCUUCGGAAACUUGCAAAGCUGUUAAAAUAUAAUGAAUAAAGCUCCAUAAUGUAAAUUCUGUGUUUGACUUUUUUCUUUGAACUGUUUCAGGCACUUCAACUAUCAACAUCACCUGAUGUUGUCAGAUGUGCCGCAGCCACUGACCACCUGCCAUAUCCUGACAUGCAGGAUUCAUGAAAUUCCACUCAGCUAUUUCACACCAUGGAUCAUAAAAUAUACAUGUGAGUGCCAGAUUGCUGUUCAGAUUCUUUCAUUUUUUAACAAAAGAAUCCCAAGCCUCCACAUUUAGGUAUUGAAGAGGCUUAAUAAAUCUGAAUGAUUGUAAGUCUAACUGGAUGAACUGAAUGUUUGAGACAAUGUCUUGAAAAUCUCCAUAUCUGCGACCAUGCAACUGUUGUUCAUCCAGCACAGCAGCUGUAUUUAGCUCUGCUCUAACCACUUGGCUGUAGCCCAGUUUAGAUUAUCACCCUUGUAAAUUGCAGUCAUGGUUAAUUACGUGGAAAGGGAAUCCAUGACUUGUGCAGUUUUGGGCGAAAAGCCGCUCCUGCCCUGCCACAUGGGCAAAGCGUAUUCACAAAACGCACAAGCAACAAGGCACGGCCUCCCUAACACAUGCUCGCUCAGAAAGACACAUAUUUACGCAUACUGUGGGCCAACACAUGGCACGGACCACCCAAGAAGGAGCAGUGUCUUUAAAAAAUAAUGAAAAUUCCACUGCAGUUUGGUGUUGCACAGCAGGCCGAGGCAGCACCACGUGUACACGCCUGCGCCCCGCCUGAUGAUGCUGCAGUUUGCUAACGUCAAUGUUGAGAGCAUGACCCAGAAAUUAGUGUUAUGGAAAAAAAAUGUUUCUUUUUCCAUCGAAAAACAGAGAGAUCCUA